AUACAUGCAAGUCGAGCGCGGGAAACCGGCGGACUCCUUCGGGAGGAAACCGGUGGAACGAGCGGCGGACGGGUGAGUAACACGUGGGCAACCUGCCGGACUGAUGGGAAUAACCCCGGGAAACCGGGGCUAAUGCCCAAUACGCCCUGACCUCGCCUGAGGUCAGCGGUAAAGCAGGGAUCUUCGGAUCCUUGCACAGUCCGAUGGGCCCGCGGCGCAUUAGCUAGUUGGAGAGGUAAGGGCUCCCCAAGGCGACGAUGCGUAGCCGACCUGAGAGGGUGAUCGGCCACACUGGGACUGAGACACGGCCCAGACUCCUACGGGAGGCAGCAGUAGGGAAUCAUCCGCAAUGGGCGAAAGCCUGACGGUGCAACGCCGCGUGAGUGAUGAAGGUUUUCGGAUCGUAAAGCUCUGUUGACAGGGAAGAACCCACGCCAGUCGAACAGGCUGGCGUGCUGACGGUACCUGUCCAGAAAGCCCCGGCUAACUACGUGCCAGCAGCCGCGGUAAUACGUAGGGGGCAAGCGUUGUCCGGAAUUAUUGGGCGUAAAGGGCACGCAGGCGGUUUCGUCAGUCCGAUGUGACAGGCCACGGCUCAACCGUGGAAGGCCAUUGGAAACUGCGAAACUUGAGGACAGAAGAGGAGAGUGGAAUUCCACGUGUAGCGGUGAAAUGCGUAGAUAUGUGGAGGAACACCAGUGGCGAAGGCGACUCUCUGGUCUGUACCUGACGCUGAGGUGCGAAAGCAUGGGGAGCAAACAGGAUUAGAUACCCUGGUAGUCCAUGCCGUAAACGCUGAGUGCUAGGUGUUAGGGGUUUCGAUACCCGUAGUGCCGAAGCUAACGCAUUAAGCACUCCGCCUGGGGAGUACGACCGCAAGGUUGAAACUCAAAGGAAUUGACGGGGGCCCGCACAAGCGGUGGAGCAUGUGGUUUAAUUCGACGCAACGCGAAGAACCUUACCAGAUCUUGACAUCUUCCGCUACGCCUCGAGAGAGGCGGUUCCCCUUCGGGGGACGGAAUGACAGGUGGUGCAUGGUUGUCGUCAGCUCGUGUCGUGAGAUGUUGGGUUAAGUCCCGCAACGAGCGCAACCCCUAAUCUUAGUUGCCAGCAUUCAGUUGGGCACUCUAAGGUGAC
This 1137-nucleotide ribosomal RNA is filed under the name Marinococcus halophilus. Its description in RNAcentral is "bacterial SSU rRNA". It matches the Rfam family "Bacterial small subunit ribosomal RNA", at positions 51 to 1149 of the family's 1533-position model. Lineage: Bacteria; Bacillati; Bacillota; Bacilli; Caryophanales; Bacillaceae. The record is from RNAcentral.